This 538-nucleotide ribosomal RNA is filed under the name Pelophylax ridibundus (marsh frog). RNAcentral's name for it is "partial 16S ribosomal RNA". It matches the Rfam family "Bacterial large subunit ribosomal RNA", at positions 1900 to 2606 of the family's 2925-position model. Lineage: Eukaryota; Metazoa; Chordata; Amphibia; Anura; Ranidae. The record is from RNAcentral.
CCAGGCUGCCCAGAGACAAAGUUUAACGGCCGCGGUACCCUAACCGUGCGAAGGUAGCAUAAUCACUUGUUCUUUAAAUAGGGACUCGUAUCAACGGCAUCACGAGGGCUAUACUGUCUCCUUUCUCCAAUCAGUGAAGCUGAUCUUCCCGUGAAGAAGCGGGAAUUAUUGUAUAAGACGAGAAGACCCCAUGGAGCUUUAAACUCAAUAUAUACCUCUACGCAUUUAUAUCACUAUAGCCUAAGAAAAUUAUAUAUUAGUUUUGGGUUGGGGGGACCGCGGAGAAAAAAUUAACCUCCACGACAAAUAGGCCAACGCCUUUAUCUAUGAACCACAAUUCUAAGAAUCAAUAAACUGAUGUUUAAUGAUCCAAUUUUUUGAUCAACGAACCAAGUUACCCUGGGGAUAACAGCGCAAUCUACUUCAAGAGCUCCUAUCGACAAGUGGGUUUACGACCUCGAUGUUGGAUCAGGGUAUCCUAGUGGUGCAGCCGCUACUAAAGGUUCGUUUGUUCAACGAUUAAAACCCUACGUGAUCU